GAUGAACGCUGGCGGCGUGCCUAAUACAUGCAAGUCGAGCGAACAGACGAGGAGCUUGCUCCUCUGACGUUAGCGGCGGACGGGUGAGUAACUCGUGGAUAACCUACCUAUAAGACUGGGAUAACUUCGGGAAACCGGAGCUAAUACCGGAUAAUAUAUUGAACCGCAUGGUUCAAUAGUGAAAGACGGUUUUGCUGCCACUUAUAGAUGGAUCCGCGCCGCAUUAGCUAGUUGGUAAGGUAACGGCUUACCAAGGCAACGAUGCGUAGCCGACCUGAGAGGGUGAUCGGCCACACUGGAACUGAGACACGGUCCAGACUCCUACGGGAGGCAGCAGUAGGGAAUCUUCCGCAAUGGGCGAAAGCCUGACGGAGCAACGCCGCGUGAGUGAUGAAGGUCUUCGGAUCGUAAAACUCUGUUAUUAGGGAAGAACAAAUGUGUAAGUAACUAUGCACGUCUUGACGGUACCUAAUCAGAAAGCCACGGCUAACUACGUG
This 497-nucleotide ribosomal RNA is filed under the name uncultured bacterium. RNAcentral's name for it is "partial 16S ribosomal RNA". It matches the Rfam family "Bacterial small subunit ribosomal RNA", at positions 28 to 507 of the family's 1533-position model. The record is from RNAcentral.